This 1483-nucleotide long non-coding RNA is filed under the name Salmo salar (Atlantic salmon). Its description in RNAcentral is "lncRNA (ENSSSAG00000110457.1)". Lineage: Eukaryota; Metazoa; Chordata; Actinopteri; Salmoniformes; Salmonidae. The record is from RNAcentral.
CUCAAACAAAACAACAUUAGCACUGCAUCUCAUAAGAUCAUUUGUUUAACACUUGCAUGUUAAUAAGCACCCAUGCUACAAGCAUAUACUAAUUAAGCGUGCUUACUGCAGUGUAGGCCUGUUGCUUUAUCAUUCUGUGAUAGUAACUGCUGUUUUCGAUGUAUAUAGAAGUUGAUGAUAUUUAGGCUUCACUGAACCCUCCCUGUGUGCAAUUUAAGUAAUGUUACAGAACACUUCAAAGGUGAGGUUGUUUAAUGUUUUUAGUCUUUACAGAAUAUCUAUUUCACAUAUAUACAUUUCCUACAAUGUCAUGGGUUGGAUAUCUUUAACCAGCUGUGAGCGUUGUCUUGCAAUAGCCAGAGAUCAGAUACUAUGAACAUUAACCACCAAUAACUAUAAUGAAAUCCAUCUAACAUAUGAAACCAACAUAUUCAGCAAAUAAUCCCACAUAUCUAUUGCUCCCAGUUUCCUUUUCAUAGGUACUCUUACAUUACUAAUGACUUCACCUCUGAGAGGAAGGGCGAAUGGGAGAUAUGGAGAGAGGGAGAGUGGAAGAAAGAGAGGGAGGGGACAAAUUUAGUCCAGAGGGAUAAAAUCUCAUCAGCUUGUCCAUAUUCACCAUUGAUCCUCCGACAAACUAGUAACACACUAGUAACACACUCCCUGCUUUUAUACCACACUCCCUUGCCCCCUCACAAUACCUGUUACAGAGGGCUGGAUCCCUCCAGUCUACUCAACAUCACACAGGAUGGAGAGAGAGAGUGAGAGUGAGAGAAAGAGCGAGUGAGAGAAAGAGAGUGAGAGAGAGUGAGAGAGAGAUACAGAGAGAGAUACAGAGAGAGAGAGAGAUACAGAGAGAGAUACAGAGAGAGAGCACCAGAAAAACCAGGUGCCUAGAGCGGCAAGUUUAAAGUGUCAUGACCAACAUCAGCUCAUUCACAGGCCUAUUGACCUGGAGCAAACUGGUCGGGUUGUAUAGAACGCUAGAUUAUACCACCUUUACAAAGCUAAAAUCAAAUCAGGGAAGGAGAGAGAGAGAGAGGGAGAGAGGAGAGAGGGGGAGCGAGAGAGAAUCAGAACACAUUUUGGUUUCUGUUCAAAUCUCCUCAGGGUUGUGGAUCAACAGCCAUUUCCUGAUCUUAUUCAGUCCUCUGUUACUCAGUUUGUCUGCUGGUUCUUUUGUUGUGCUGCUUCUAUAAUCUUCCUUUAUCUUUGUCUCUGGUGUCGCUGGUUAAAUCCCAGGGCUCCACAAAUGGCCUUGACGGAUGACAGCAGUGGUUUUCCAUAAGCAGCCUUGACGCGAGUGCACGUGCGUGUGUGUUGGGCCUCAGGUGUGUGGAAGUGUGAGCUUUUUGUCAAGGUUUCUCACAGCUGUGAUCAAGUACUUAGUCUGGGAAAAUGAGAGAGAGGGGAGGGAGAAGAAAGAGAGGGGAGGAAGGAGAGAGAGAUAGAGGAGGAAAAAUAGAAAUAUUUAAUUAAUUGA